AUACCUUUCUCGGCCUUUUGGCUAAGAUCAAGUGUAGUAUCUGUUCUUAUCAGUUUAAUAUCUGAUAUGUGGGCCAUCGGCCCACACGAUAUUAAAUUAAUUUUUGUAGGGGGAGAGUCCGCAACGGUAGCUUGCUAUCGGGGCCCUCGAGCGUCGCUCUUGCGUUGCACUACUGCAAGAGCCUGGCGCACCCCAC
This is a non-coding RNA of Citrus sinensis (sweet orange), 196 nucleotides long. The record is from Rfam. Lineage: Eukaryota; Viridiplantae; Streptophyta; Magnoliopsida; Sapindales; Rutaceae.